UGGCUCUCGCAUCGAUGAAGAACGCAGCGAAAUGCGAUAAGUAAUGUGAAUUGCAGAAUUCAGUGAAUCAUCGAAUCUUUGAACGCACCUUGCGCCCUCUGGUAUUCCGGAGGGCAUGCCUGUUUGAGUGUCAUGUAGACUCAUCCUUUCGGGUUUCCGAAAUGUGAUGGAUUUGGAGGUUUGCCUUUGAUGGCUCCUCUUAAAUGCAUGGUGUAGACGUAAUAAGUUUCGUCGUACGCACCUCUAGUCGCAAGACAAUUCUUUACUUCUGACCUCAAAUCAGGUAGGGCUACCCGCUGA
RNAcentral lists this unclassified non-coding RNA (300 nucleotides) under uncultured fungus. Its description in RNAcentral is "partial contains 5.8S ribosomal RNA and internal transcribed spacer 2". The stretch from base 1 to 133 matches the Rfam family "5.8S ribosomal RNA", at positions 22 to 154 of the family's 154-position model. The record is from RNAcentral. Lineage: Eukaryota; Fungi.